This 1974-nucleotide ribosomal RNA is filed under the name Triticum aestivum (bread wheat). RNAcentral describes it as "partial small subunit ribosomal RNA". The record is from RNAcentral. Lineage: Eukaryota; Viridiplantae; Streptophyta; Magnoliopsida; Poales; Poaceae.
AUGAUGUGCAUGCGCCGCCAUGUGCAUGUCGUCGCCUUCGCCUUGGCGGUUGCCGGCGUGCUGACGACCCUCGCGGCCGAUAAGCCGGUGGUGGUAUGCGGCACAGCUGGUAACUACACGGCCAACAGCGCAUAUCAGGGCAAUCUCCGGCUCGUCGCCGCGGGCCUACCCACCAACAUCUCCACGUCCCCUGGCCUCUUCGCCACCGCCGAAAACGGCGCCGAGCCGGACAGGGCGUACGCCGUCGGGAUAUGCCGCGGCGACCAGGACGCCUCCGCCUGCCAAGCCUGCAUCGCCCCCACCUUCAAGGACGCGCAGGACCUGUGCCCCUACAACAGGGGCGCCACCAUCUUCUACGACACCUGCCUCCUCAGCUUCUCCGACCGAGACCUGCUCCUCUCGCCCACCAAUUCCAACGACGAGGUGAUGCGGCUCUACAAUGCUGGGAACAUCACCUCUGACGUCGUCAGCCAGUUCAACGCCGCCGUCUACAAGCUCCUCGACGCCAUGGUCGAGUACGUGGAAACCAUAGACUCGGUGAGGAGGUUCGCAACCGGGACCAUCGGCUUCGACGCGACCUACCCCAUUAUCUACAGCAUGGUGUGGUGCACGCCCGACCUGACGCAUGGGCAGUGCCGUGCUUGCCUUAGCGCCACGGUUGCCCAGAUGCCCUACACCUUCAUCCCUAAUACGCAGGGCGCCACCAUCACUGGGCUGCGAUGCAGCGUGCGCUACGAGGUACACCCGUUCUACAAGGGCGUCACCAUGCUGCAGCUGACGGGCACCUCGCCUGGUAAGAAGAGUAAUGAAACCAGAAAAAUUCUUUCAAUCGUGCUACCUUCAGUGGCAGCUCUACUUGUAAGCAUUGUGGCGUGUCUUUGUUGCUGGAGGAGGAGAACAAGAAGUAAAAAGUUACUGGCAUAUGAAUCUCAUGUGGAGGGCAUUGAUAGCACUGAAUCACUUAUUAUUGAUCUACCAACAAUACGGAUUGCCACAGAUAACUUUGCCGAAGAUCAUAAGCUUGGUGAAGGAGGAUUUGGUGCAGUUUACAAGGGCUCCCUUCCUGAUGGUCAAGAUAUAGCUGUGAAACGCCUCUCUCGGUUUUCUCAACAAGGAAUAGGGGAACUAAAAAAUGAGCUAGUCUUAAUUUCCAAUCUGCAGCACAAAAACCUUGUGAGACUUAUUGGUGUCUGCUUGCAAGAGGAUGAGAAGCUUCUUGUCUACGAGUACAUGCCAAACAAAAGUCUGGACACGUUUCUUUUUGAUUCCGAGAAACGCAAAGAGUUACAUUGGGGGAGGAGACUCAUGAUAAUAGAUGGAAUUGCUCGUGGAUUGCAAUAUCUACAUGAAGAUUCUCUAUUGAAGAUAGUCCACCGGGAUCUAAAGGCAAGUAACAUUCUAUUGGAUGCAAACAUGAAUCCAAAAAUUUCAGACUUUGGCUUGGCAAAGCUUUUUGGAGGGGAUCAAUCACAAGACAUCACAAAUCGAGUUGUUGGAACAUAUGGAUACAUGGCACCAGAAUACGCUCUACGGGGGCGGUAUUCUAUAAAAUCAGACAUAUAUAGCUUUGGUGUGUUGAUUUUGGAGAUACUCACCGGAAGGAAAAAUAGUGACACCUACAAUUCUGACCAACUUAUUGAUCUGCCAAGUCUGGUAUGGGAAUACUGGACAAUGAAAUCAAUUAUGGAGAUGAUUGACCCUUACUUGAGAGGCGAUUCCUCGCAGGAAGAGAUUUUGAGGUGCGUUCACAUUGGACUAUCAUGCGUUCAGGAAGACCCUGCUGAGAGGCCAACUAUAUGGACGAUCAAUGUCAUGCUGGAUAGCAACACAAUCCCGUCCCACCCACCAUCCAAGCCAGCAUUCUACGUAGAAAUGGGUGCAAACUUUGUCUCAGAAGGUAUCAAUGAUUCAACGCCCAAGUCGAACGCGGCGUCACUGAAUGAGCUAUCAAUAACAGAUCCAGAACCAAGAUAA